Sapajus apella (tufted capuchin) is the source of this 201-nucleotide long non-coding RNA. RefSeq lists it as uncharacterized. The transcript is spliced from 3 exons. NCBI's taxonomy places the organism in Eukaryota, Metazoa, Chordata, Mammalia, Primates, Cebidae. The record is from RefSeq and is a predicted model, not a curated record.
AGACCGACUCCGGAAAUGCAGGCUCUCCCCAGACAGUCCACACAGGGCAGCCGAGUGGGGCCACCCAGCCUGACUCUCCUUGGGAGGUUUUCCUAAUUUAUAAAGCUGCUCAUGGCCAGGUGCGGUAUCUCAUGCCUGUAAUCCCAGCACUUUGGGAGGCUGAGGCGGGUGGAUCACCUGAGGUCAGGAGUUCGAGACCAG